RNAcentral lists this long non-coding RNA (1985 nucleotides) under Salmo salar (Atlantic salmon). RNAcentral's name for it is "lncRNA (ENSSSAG00000114271.1)". Lineage: Eukaryota; Metazoa; Chordata; Actinopteri; Salmoniformes; Salmonidae. The record is from RNAcentral.
CACUCCGGGCAACUGCGACAGUCGUCUUCCACGGCCCUCCUUAUCCCGGACCAGUGGAACCGGUGGCGAUCCGUUCCCGGGUCUUCUCCAUUCCCAGGUGCGCCCCCAACAGGUGGACCAGCUGAAGAACGGUUCCCACGUACCGUCGGGGUAGCAACAAUAUCUCUUGAAGUUCCCCCUGUUGGUGCGACACCUGACACAAAAGGUUAUUCUUGAUUUGGAAAUAGGGGUAUCGCCAGUCACUCACCCCCGGAAGUAGCUGUCCAUCCACCGUUAUCACUUGGGCUGCAGCGGCUUUGAAGUUAGGAUCCUCCCACUGGACCGUCCCGAAUUGUCCCCUCAGUUGGCCCCCAGACUGGCCCCUCGAAAUCGAGGAGGGGGAGGCUGGGCUCUUCCUCCCGUGGUUCCCCAGUGGGGUCAGGUUCCAGCACCCCCUCCGACUCCAGCUCCGGACCCGUAGAUACAGGUUGGUCAACCGUUUGCUUCCGGGCCGCACAGGCGAUGGGUCAUCCUCGCUCUUGUCUUCGGCCAGCUCGUACCUUCUUCCUCAGCUCGUGCCCCCACAGGGCCGCAAACAGCGGACAAUCUCAUCCCACUAGGAGAGGUACCGGCAACUCUGGUACUGCACCCACCAUCAUCUGGCAGCUCCUUUGGGGCGUCACAAUGUUGGCCCGUAUGGUUGGAUACCGCUUUGUGUCCCCAUGAACACAGGAAAUUGACAUCUCCCUACCACGUUCGGUCUCCUGGUUCAGCAGGCACAUGGUUACGAGGGUAACCAUACUUCCGGAGUCCAAUAGAGCUUCCGUGUCGUGCCCUUCUGCCCUUCUGGCAGCUUUAUGGGCCUUGCACAGCUGGUGAGCAAUCAGCCCUUGAUUACUCACCAACUCCCAAUCAGCCCCAAUUAGUCCUGGACGGAGAGCCCGUCGAGAUCUGGCAUGUCCAGCCAAUGGAGCCAUCGCCUCGUGACGUACACUCUGUCUGUCACCAGGCCUCGACGAGUCUCCCCCUGGUGGCUGACCUGCUGUACGCCACAAUGAAUACAACAGUAUAUAUAGCAUGUUAACAUAGAGAUAUAUAUAUAUAAACUAUACAACAGUAUAUAUAGCAUGUUAACAUGGGAAUAUAUAUCAUCUAUAAAUGAAUAUAACAGUCUAUAUGGGUCCAGUGUUGGUUUCUUGAGGAUGGAAGCGACUCGGGCCAUCUUGAAGUCAGUUGUCAGGGAUGAGUUGGUGAGGGAAGUGAGGAAUGGGAGAAGGUCUCCAGAGAUGAGUUGAUGAAGGAAGUGAGAAGGUCUCCAGAGAUGGUGUGGAGAAGUGAGGAGGGAAUGGGGUUGAGUUGAUGAGGGAAGUUAGGAAGGGGAGGUCUCCAGAGAUGGUCUAGAGAAGGGAGGAGGGGUUGAGUGGGCAGGUUGUCGGGCGGACGGACAUCACUAAUCGCAGGAUUUUAUCUGGAGUGAGAGGGGAGAAAGAGGUCAAGGCGUAUGGUAGUUAUGGAGAGAGAGGGGAGAAUGAGGUCAAGGCGUAUGGUAGUUAUGGAGAGAGAUGGGAGAAAGAGGUCAAGGCGUAUGGUAGUUAUGGAGAGAGAGGGGAGAAAGAGGUCAAGGCGUAUGGUAGUUAUGGAGAGAGAGGGGAGAAAGAGGUCAAGGCGUAUGGUAGUUAUGGAGAGAGAGGGGAGAAAGAGGUCAAGGCGUAUGGUAGUUAUGGAGAGAGAGGGGAGAAAGAGGUCAAGGCGUAUGGUAGUUAUGGAGAGAGAUGGGAGAAAGAGGUCAAGGCGUAUGGUAGUUAUGGAGAGAGAGGGGAGAAAGAGGUCAAGGCGUAUGGUAGUUAUGGAGAGAGAGGGGAGAAAGAGGUCAAGGUGUAUGGUAGUUAUGGAGAGAGAUGGGAUAAAGAGGUCAAGGUGUAUGGUAGUUAUGGAGAGAGAGGGGAGAAAGAGGUCAAGGUGUAUGGUAGUUAUGGAGAGAGAGGGGAGAACGAGGUCAAGGUGUA